AUUGAACGCUGGCGGAAUGCUUUACACAUGCAAGUCGAACGGCAGCACGGACUUCGGUCUGGUGGCGAGUGGCGAACGGGUGAGUAAUGUAUCGGAACGUGCCCAGUCGUGGGGGAUAACGUAGUGAAAAUUACGCUAAUACCGCAUACGAUCUAUGGAUGAAAGCGGGGGAUCGCAAGACCUCGCGCGAUUGGAGCGGCCGAUAUCAGAUUAGGUAGUUGGUGGGGUAAAGGCCCACCAAGCCAACGAUCUGGAGCUGGUCUGAGAGGACGACCAGCCACACUGGAACUGAGGCACGGUCCAGACUCCUACGGGAGGCAGCAGUGGGGAAUUUUGGACAAUGGGCGAAAGCCUGAUCCAGCCAUUCCGCGUGCAGGAUGAAGGCCUCGGGUUGUAAACUGCUUUUGUACAGAACGAAAAGGUUUCUACUAAUACUAGGAGCUCAUGACGGUACUGUAAGAAUAAGCACCGGCUAACUACGUGCCAGCAGCCGCCGUAA
RNAcentral lists this ribosomal RNA (499 nucleotides) under uncultured bacterium. RNAcentral's name for it is "partial 16S ribosomal RNA". It matches the Rfam family "Bacterial small subunit ribosomal RNA", at positions 30 to 523 of the family's 1533-position model. The record is from RNAcentral.